Molecule: ribosomal RNA, 468 nt
Filed under: uncultured bacterium
Lineage: Bacteria
Description: partial 16S ribosomal RNA
Rfam family: Bacterial small subunit ribosomal RNA
Source: RNAcentral
GACGAACGCUGGCGGCGUGCUUAACACAUGCAAGUCGAACGGAAAGGCCCUGCUUUUGUGGGGUGCUCGAGUGCCGAACGGGUGAGUAACACGUGAGUAACCUGCCCUUGACUUUGGGAUAACUUCAGGAAACUGGGGCUAAUACCGGAUAGGAGCUCCUGCUCCAUGUUGGGGGUUGGAAAGUUUCGGCGGUUGGGGAUGGACUCGCGGCUUAUCAGCUUGUUGGUGUGGUAGUGGCUUACCAAGGCUUUGACGGGUAGCCGGCCUGAGAGGGUGACCGGCCACAUUGGGACUGAGAUACGGCCCAGACUCCUACGGGAGGCAGCAGUGGGGAAUAUUGCACAAUGGGCGGAAGCCUGAUGCAGCAACGCCGCGUGCGGGAUGACGGCCUUCGGGUUGUAAACCGCUUUCGCCUGUGACGAAGCGUGAGUGACGGUAAUGGGUAAAGAAGCACCGGCUAACUACGUG